CCGACCUUAGCUCAGUUGGUAGAGCGUGAGACUGUAAGGGAAGAAUUGAUAACUUGUUAUCUCAAUGUCACCUGUUCGAUCCAGGUAGGUCGGA
RNAcentral lists this transfer RNA (94 nucleotides) under Termitomyces sp. J132. It matches the Rfam family "tRNA". From Rfam's summary of the family: Transfer RNA (tRNA) molecules are approximately 80 nucleotides in length. Their secondary structure includes four short double-helical elements and three loops (D, anti-codon, and T loops). Further hydrogen bonds mediate the characteristic L-shaped molecular structure. tRNAs have two regions of fundamental functional importance: the anti-codon, which is responsible for specific mRNA codon recognition, and the 3' end, to which the tRNAs corresponding amino acid is attached (by aminoacyl-tRNA synthetases). tRNAs cope with the degeneracy of the genetic code in two manners: having more than one tRNA (with a specific anti-codon) for a particular amino acid; and 'wobble' base-pairing, i.e. permitting non-standard base-pairing at the 3rd anti-codon position. Lineage: Eukaryota; Fungi; Basidiomycota; Agaricomycetes; Agaricales; Lyophyllaceae. The record is from Rfam by way of RNAcentral.